Molecule: ribosomal RNA, 253 nt
Filed under: uncultured bacterium
Lineage: Bacteria
Description: partial 16S ribosomal RNA
Rfam family: Bacterial small subunit ribosomal RNA
Source: RNAcentral
UACGAAGGGGGCUAGCGUUGCUCGGAAUCACUGGGCGUAAAGAGCGCGCAGGCGGUCGUUCAAGUCGCGUGUGAAAGCCCCCGGCUCAACUGGGGAGGGUCACGCGAUACUGAUCGACUGGAAGGCAGGAGAGGGUAGUGGAAUUCCCGGUGUAGUGGUGAAAUGCGUAGAUAUCGGGAGGAACACCAGUGGCGAAGGCGACUACCUGGCCUGUUCUUGACGCUGAGGCGCGAAAGCUAGGGGAGCAAACGGG